CCUCAAAGAGAUUUUUCAGCGGCAUGAAUCGCGAUUCAAAGUAAACAGAAAGUGGAUGAGGAUAAGAAGGAGAUUCACCUAUGGGGGGAAAGACGGGGUCCUAUUGAUAGUAUUUUCUUUUACGGAGUGGUUGAAGCAUUAUCAAAAGUUAUAGUAACUGCAGGUGGGACGUUGAUGGUGAUGUUUAGUGCUCCCGUGAAAUGAUAUAGAGAGACAUAUCAUAUCCUACUACAGGUUUCAAACACAAUCCAUAGCCCAUCACCUUUCUUAUCUUUAUCCAUUUCAAUCUCCCAGCAUCUUCCAAAUCUCAAUCUUCAAUCUUUCACUUGGAGGUAAAUAAAGGCUCACGCAACAAGAAGUUCGUUGAUAGAACUUUCAUGGCCAUAUAAUCAGGAUAUCCUUCGGUGGUUCAAGACAUUCAGUAUUUCGUUUAUAGUUUUUGUUUGAUAGGUUGCGGGACCUAAAAGCAUGGAGAGAGGGCAGAUAUUCAACAAGAUCAUGAAGGUAGAGAUUCCAUCGGAGACUGAAAGAAUAUCGAGUGGUGGCACAAAGUUUACUUCUGGGCUUCAAAGACAGUCAAGCGCUACAAAGAGCAAUUGCCUAUGCUCUCCAACCUCCCAUGCUGGUUCUUUCCGGUGCAGGUUACACCGUGCCCCGAGCCUUCAAAGAACCAAAAGCAUUGACUCUGCUUCUCUGCGAGACUCUGAAACUAAGAUCAAUACGACAGCUGAUGGUGCUAGCAAUUUAAACACAAUUGAGGCCCAGUAAUUCACAUGAACGUAUCUAUGUACACCUGUAAGUGUGCAACUGCAGUUGUUUGCUAGCACAGUGGUCUUGAAGCUGUACAUUUUCCAUUUCCAUUUUCCUUUUCGUUUCUUACUGUAUAAAUAAAAAGUUACCUAUUUCUACGUC
Molecule: long non-coding RNA, 912 nt
Organism: Populus nigra (black poplar)
Lineage: Eukaryota; Viridiplantae; Streptophyta; Magnoliopsida; Malpighiales; Salicaceae
Exons: 2
Source: RefSeq, a predicted model, not a curated record